This 240-nucleotide unclassified non-coding RNA is filed under the name soil metagenome. Its description in RNAcentral is "partial contains 5.8S ribosomal RNA, internal transcribed spacer 2, and large subunit ribosomal RNA". The record is from RNAcentral.
AACAUCGCGCACCUGCGGGAACCUGCGGAAGGAUCAUUACAGAGUUGCAAAACUCCCACAAACCAUCGCGAAUCUUACCCGUACGGUUGCCUCGGCGCUGGCGGUCCGGAAGGCCCUCGGGCCCCCGGACCCUCGGGUCCCCCGCUCGCGGGGGGCUGCCCGCCGGAGUGCCGAAACCAAACUCUUGAUAUUUUAUGUCUCUCUGAGUAAACUUUUAAAUAAGUCAAAACUUUUAGCAAC